RNAcentral lists this ribosomal RNA (253 nucleotides) under uncultured bacterium. Its description in RNAcentral is "partial 16S ribosomal RNA". It matches the Rfam family "Bacterial small subunit ribosomal RNA", at positions 524 to 776 of the family's 1533-position model. The record is from RNAcentral.
UACAGAGGUCCCAAGCGUUGUUCGGAUUCACUGGGCGUAAAGGGUGCGUAGGCGGUGAGGUAAGUCGGAUGUGAAAGCUCGGAGCUCAACUCCGAAAUGGCAUUGGAAACUACCUUGCUCGAGGGUUGGAGGGGGGACUGGAAUACUUGGUGUAGCAGUGAAAUGCGUAGAUAUCAAGUGGAACACCAGUGGCGAAGGCGAGUCCCUGGACAACUCCUGACACUGAGGCACGAAAGCUAGGGGAGCAAACAGG